Molecule: ribosomal RNA, 492 nt
Filed under: uncultured bacterium
Lineage: Bacteria
Description: partial 16S ribosomal RNA
Rfam family: Bacterial small subunit ribosomal RNA
Source: RNAcentral
AGUGAACGCUGGCGGUAGACCUAACACAUGCAAGUCGAACGGCAGCACAGUAAGAGCUUGCUCUUACGGGUGGCGAGUGGCGGACGGGUGAGGAAUACGUCGGAAUCUACUUUUUCGUGGGGGAUAACGUAGGGAAACUUACGCUAAUACCGCACACGACCUACGGGUGAAAGCAGGGGAUCUUCGGACCUUGCGCGAUUGAAUGAGCCGAUGUCGGAUUAGCUAGUUGGCGGGGUAAAGGCCCACCAAGGCGACGAUCCGUAGCUGGUCUGAGAGGAUGAUCAGCCACACUGGAACUGAGACACGGUCCAGACUCCUACGGGAGGCAGCAGUGGGGAAUAUUGGACAAUGGGCGCAAGCCUGAUCCAGCCAUACCGCGUGGGUGAAGAAGGCCUUCGGGUUGUAAAGCCCUUUUGUUGGGAAAGAAAAGCAGCAGGUUAAUACCCCGCUGUUCUGACGGUACCCAAAGAAUAAGCACCGGCUAACUUCGUG